GUGCCAGCCGCCGCGGUAAUACGUAGGGGGCAAGCGUUGUCCGGAUUUAUUGGGCGUAAAGAGCUCGUAGGCGGCUCGGUAAGUCGGAUGUGAAACCUCCAGGCUCAACCUGGAGACGCCAUCUGAUACUGCCGUGGCUUGAGUCCGGUAGAGGAGCAGGGAAUUCCUGGUGUAGCGGUGAAAUGCGCAGAUAUCAGGAGGAACACCAGCGGCGAAGGCGCUGCUCUGGGCCGGUACUGACGCUGAGGAGCGAAAGCGUGGGGAGCGAACAGGAUUAGAUACCCUGGUAGUCC
This 293-nucleotide ribosomal RNA is filed under the name uncultured bacterium. Its description in RNAcentral is "partial 16S ribosomal RNA". It matches the Rfam family "Bacterial small subunit ribosomal RNA", at positions 505 to 796 of the family's 1533-position model. The record is from RNAcentral.